This is a long non-coding RNA of Pocillopora damicornis (cauliflower coral), 490 nucleotides long. Lineage: Eukaryota; Metazoa; Cnidaria; Anthozoa; Scleractinia; Pocilloporidae. The record is from RefSeq and is a predicted model, not a curated record.
GGUGAACAGAUGCGGUGAAAUUGAGCGCGAAGCGAACCAUAAGAGUUAAGAAUGGCAAAGUUUCAAGUUUGCACGAUUGGAAUUUUGGUUCCUUUCAAAUUAUGAACUGGUGCUGAAGGGAGCAUUACCUUUGCUAAGGACGUGAUCAGCCACAGUGUGGCUGACAAAGAGAAUAGCAAAUCGUUAACUUCGUUAUCGAAAAUUACAUUGGGCGCAAUUAUAACAGAUCUCUGGGGUGAAAGAAUCAAGCACGUGAAACGUGGACAACGAAACGGUGUCUUUUGACUACAGUCGAAUCCGCACAACGGCGAGGGAAAUUGGAAAAGGUUCGAGUUAUUGGUAGUUGGGAACGGAGAGACGGUGUUUACUCUUUUUUUUCUAUGCAUAAAGUAUAUAUUUCAAUCAAAUUUAAUUAUAGAGAAAACGAGUAAAUUGGAACACGAUAGAUUAUUGCGGAAGUCACAAAUUAAUGUGAAUGCUUUAGACUGCA